Molecule: ribosomal RNA, 433 nt
Filed under: uncultured bacterium
Lineage: Bacteria
Description: partial 16S ribosomal RNA
Rfam family: Bacterial small subunit ribosomal RNA
Source: RNAcentral
AACGAACGCUGGCGGCAUGUCUAACACAUGCAAGUCGAACGAGACCUUCGGGUCUAGUGGCGCACGGGUGCGUAACGCGUGGGAACCUGCCCUUAGGUUCGGAAUAACUCCCCGAAAGGGGUGCUAAUACCGGAUAAUGUCUUCGGACCAAAGAUUUAUCGCCUUUGGAUGGGCCCGCGUUGGAUUAGCUAGUUGGUAGGGUAAAAGCCUACCAAGGCGACAAUCCAUAGCUGGUCUGAGAGGAUGAUCAGCCACACUGGGACUGAGACACGGCCCAGACUCCUACGGGAGGCAGCAGUGGGGAAUAUUGGACAAUGGGCGAAAGCCUGAUCCAGCAAUGCCGCGUGAGUGAUGAAGGCCUUAGGGUUGUAAAGCUCUUUUACCCGGGAUGAUAAUGACAGUACCGGGAGAAUAAGCUCCGGCUAACUCCGUG